Long non-coding RNA from Alexandromys fortis (reed vole), 1032 nucleotides. RefSeq lists it as uncharacterized. The record is from RefSeq and is a predicted model, not a curated record. The transcript is spliced from 3 exons. Lineage: Eukaryota; Metazoa; Chordata; Mammalia; Rodentia; Cricetidae.
CCAGGGACAGUGAGGGGUAUGUUAGGAGUGGCGGUCAGAGUCGCCACAAAACACCCACCUUUAUUCUUCUUCAGGAAAGACCACCUGCCGUGGGCUGGGAGGUAGUAUAAUAUCGGGGUAACGCCAAAGAAUACAGUCAAAACCCCUGCUCCCAGACAAGCUAUGCUUAGUUUCGGCUCAUUCGUUCAUUGUCUCCAGCACUUAUCAGGAUUAGGAAAAUUUCCUUCAAAACAAGGAUUAAAGAAGAUGAUUGCUUGACAGCAUAAAGGAAGACAGAACUGAUGCUUUGUAUGCGGGCGGACACAGCUGGCUCUGCCCUGGGAAGCAUCCACCUUCUGGAAGACAUCUGCAAGAAUCGAGGUUCCCGUUAUUAGCCAGUAUGAUCUAGGAAUUUUGGAGACUGAAGAGAAUGACCACAUCUCUGCCACCUGAUUUUUGAUGGAUCCUAGUUUCUUCCAGGGGAUGACAGAGGAUUGCAUCUAAAGCUUUCAGUCUCCUUGUGAGAAGGCAGUUAGAUUCUGCACUGAUUUCCCAGAAAUGCCAAACUACAUUGUUCCCCUAAACAAUCCCUCUGAUAGGUUAAACCAGACCCUGGCAGUUCCUUCCUAAGCCAUAUGGUAUCAUGACAAACAUGGCUAAUUCCUGCUCAGUUUGUUCUGAAUUGUGUUCAUCUGCCAACUGGUUAGCGCCCAUUAUAAAGCGGCUUUUAUCUGGAGAUUCUCAUUAGCAUGUGAAAUUAGUCCAAGCCCAAACUUCAUUUUGCCAAAUCCUCCCUCAGGCUGCUCUUGAGAUAGAGUCUGCUCACAAUUGAGGUUUUGUUGCUUGACUGUCAGGCUAUGCCCAGAAGGUCAAUUAGCCUUUUUCUUUCUUCUUCUUCUUUUAUAAAUCAGAUACUUGGUGUUUACUUGCUGUGAUCUAAAUUCUGGUAGAGCUAUUCUGGCUUUCUGUUUGUUUUGUGUCUGUAAUAGAGAACGAUAUCUUUGCCUGUUCCCACAGAUAAUUUCUUAUUACAUCAUUUUGCUCAAUAAAGAC